This 481-nucleotide ribosomal RNA is filed under the name uncultured bacterium. Its description in RNAcentral is "bacterial SSU rRNA". It matches the Rfam family "Bacterial small subunit ribosomal RNA", at positions 28 to 496 of the family's 1533-position model. The record is from RNAcentral.
GAUGAACGCUAGCUACAGGCUUAACACAUGCAAGUCGAGGGGAAACGAUAUUGGAAGCUUGCUUCUGAUAGGCGUCGACCGGCGCACGGGUGAGUAACGCGUAUCCAACCUGCCCAUCACUUGGGGAUAACCUUGCGAAAGUAAGACUAAUACCCAAUGACGUCUCUAGAAGACAUCUGAAAGAGAUUAAAGAUUUAUCGGUGAUGGAUGGGGAUGCGUCUGAUUAGCUUGUUGGCGGGGUAACGGCCCACCAAGGCGACGAUCAGUAGGGGUUCUGAGAGGAAGGUCCCCCACAUUGGAACUGAGACACGGUCCAAACUCCUACGGGAGGCAGCAGUGAGGAAUAUUGGUCAAUGGACGAGAGUCUGAACCAGCCAAGUAGCGUGCAGGAUGACGGCCCUAUGGGUUGUAAACUGCUUUAUAAGGGAAUAAAGUGAGUCUCGUGAGACUUUUUUGCAUGUACCUUAUGAAUAAGGACCGG